Molecule: long non-coding RNA, 531 nt
Organism: Paramacrobiotus metropolitanus
Lineage: Eukaryota; Metazoa; Tardigrada; Eutardigrada; Parachela; Macrobiotidae
Exons: 3
Source: RefSeq, a predicted model, not a curated record
GCAGUUCCAACGUCUGCACCAGUACAGCUGAUGUUCAGAGUAGGAGCGAUAAAACUUACUCAUCUCAUGCAAACAUUCCACAAGUGAAGAACCUUCGCCUGGAAUUCAACGUAGGAGCUCCUUUUAUUCAUGAUGAUUUCCAUUAUUAUGAAAGAUAACUGGGACCACAACGACUCAACAUACAGGAGCUCCUUGUUGCUGCCUUUCUUCAAACAGCGAUUCACAAAGGUGCUAUUCCGUCAGCGGAGCUCCGCACUAACUUGUCCCAUCUGCACCGUAUUCCUUUACGGAUAAAAAAAUGAAAAAAACAGUCUAAAUAAACCACCAACACCAAAUGGACAAUUAAGUUAUAAAAGAAAACUAGGUCGCAACAAAAACUCCAACAAAUUUUAAUUGUUUUUACUAUUAAACAAUUUUGCAAGAACUGUUUGGCAUUUGCUGCUUUUAAAAUGCUGUGCUGUUUGGCUAUUUAUUUCCCAAUUGGAUAAUAUUGUGCCAGUUAGCGUUAGUGUUUCAAUCCCGCCUAGUGGU